RNAcentral lists this transfer RNA (94 nucleotides) under Aureobasidium namibiae CBS 147.97. It matches the Rfam family "tRNA". Rfam says of the family: Transfer RNA (tRNA) molecules are approximately 80 nucleotides in length. Lineage: Eukaryota; Fungi; Ascomycota; Dothideomycetes; Dothideales; Saccotheciaceae. The record is from Rfam by way of RNAcentral.
GGUCGGUUAGCUCAGUUGGUUAGAGCGUGGUGCUAAUAUCUGCUCUGAUAUAUCUGGCACGCCAAGGUCGCGGGUUCGACCCCCGUACUGACCA